RNAcentral lists this long non-coding RNA (737 nucleotides) under Triticum aestivum (bread wheat). RNAcentral describes it as "long non-coding RNA (TAES_LNC012847)". Lineage: Eukaryota; Viridiplantae; Streptophyta; Magnoliopsida; Poales; Poaceae. The record is from RNAcentral.
CAAAGUUGAGUUGCAGACCAUUUUUCUAUUUCCCAUUAAAAUAGGAAGCCCACUUACAUGGCUCGCGACCCACAUCAAUAAUUCUGGCACAUGUGACGUCGGGACAAUCCAAACAUUUAGAGAAACAUACCCUCCUUUAUUAGUAGAUAUAGAAUUAAGGAAUAUUUGGUAGAUUCUCAACAUCUUGCAUUGCCCAUUGUCAAGUCAUCAUACUACUCAACAUUAUUAUUUGUUACACGCACCCUAUGAUAGUUGCAACAUGUUUCUUAUUCAACACUCCCAUUGGCAUGUACAAGCUCCAAAGAAUAGGUAACAAAACCCUUCGAUAAAGCCCUCCUUGUGGCAUGCAUCAACACAAGGAUCAUGCUUUGCAUGGUACAGACGUAUAGGUCCGGCUAUCUCGAGUGCACAUCUUUGCUUCCGAACCUACAAAAUAACCACAUAAUUUUGUGUACAAAAAGAAAUUCAGAUCUUAUGAUGUUCCACAAAGGAACGGGAUAAAAAGUUGUGGCAUGGAGUGCAAAAUACACAUAGGAGGAAACAAAGUACAAAACAUGCAUUGAGGAAGUUCCUUGUUCUUCAUGUGAAAUUUUCAGACAACGCUUACCAGGAACUAAAAGUGGCAUGAGCAAGAACAGGCAUAACAGUCCUGUCAUCUUGACCACUCCCAUGACUCCAAGAAUAAACAGUCCCAAAAGCAAGUAAGCAAGCAUGAAAUUGACGCAUCAGAAGAGGCC